GCACCCACAGCUAUCCAUAUAUUUUGGAGACUUACUGCAACUGUCAGGUGCGAGCACUAGAACAAGUCUGAAAGGAGGAAAUCAUGUCUGUUGAAACUGUUACUCUGUGAACUCAUACAUGCUGACAUGUAACGCCGUUGAUAUCUGCCGUGUCGCGUUUAUGAACCUGCUGUGUCCAACAGCACCUUAUUGAUUAUUAUGGAGGUAAAGGGACCAGAGGAAAUGCUAUUAAAGAUUAAAGGGUCAGGUGAUGUGAAGGUGGCAUUCAGAGUCAUCAGACACCAGCGGCUUCGGUUACAGGCUGUAAUGUUCACCCGUCAAGCAGAUUAGCCAGCUUGAUUUAUUUAUUACCUGAUGUCUUACCAUUUCCUACCCUCACUGACUGAAUAACUGAUUGACUGGGUGGCUGACUGCUUGCAUAGCUUAUGCGCCGUAGGUGAACUUCAAAAGGGAAGGGGAAGAUUAUGGAGUCACUCGGUGUCUAUUUACACAACACGCAGUCUGUAUUGCUUUUACAGUGCAAAGCUAAUAAAGAGAAAGGGGUUUGCUGUUUAACUGUAUAUAGAAGGGUUUUUCUUUGUUUUGUUUUUUUUGUUUUGUUAAAAUAUCAGGAUGGAAGAAACUUUUGGAAGCCUGUGAUAAUGUUUUCCCUUUUUUCAAUGUUAAAUUGAUAUAAAGUCAACAGUAGGGUCUAACGGUGUAUUGUAGCGUAACAAGCUCCAUUCAGGGCAGCCAUUAAAAAUCCUAAAACCGCGAUACGGCACCCAUAUAAUGUGAGUAUAAUAGAACUCUGGUAUUAUGAGGCCUAUCUGGGAUACAUCUCUGUACAGAGAGCCAAUGCACUGCCUGUCUGCGUCUUAUCUGAAGUGGCAAACUUGCUGUUCUAAUUGUUAUCUUCACACUAAUAGAGUGGAUGUUUUGAAAUCAUUUGGUUGGACGGAUAAAGGCUUGGCAAUUCCCCAAUGCUUACUGUCUCUGUCAGGGCUUAUCUGUAGGAGAUAGCUGGGUCCCUAAGAAUGAUUGGCAGGGUGCAGGAUGUACAAAAGUGUUGCAGUGUCUGAGAAAGGAGGCAGAGCAGACAUCCAAGGAAUUGUUGAGAAUUAGAAAAUGGCAUUAUUCGGGAGUUGCUAAAGUUGCUCCUACUUUUCCAGCAAAAUUGCAUUGAGGGAAGAAUCAUGUCAUUUAAUGUGAUAAUUAAUCUUAAACUCUUAUUGUUAAAAUAAUGAGUGAUGUUGGAUCAUCUGAGAGUGUGUGUUUGCAGAAACUGAUGAGUCUUUUUUUUAAGUAUUUUCUAAAAAAUAAAAAACUAAAGAUGCUCAAACACGCUGAAGUGUUUUGCUUCUUGCCACGACAGACUUAAGUUUUGGUGUACUUGGCAUCUGAUGUGACUCGCAUAAAACAAGAGGCUGAAAACUUAACCUGCCUGAGCGAAACACAACUUUCGGGUUUCACCACAUGCUGUCGGCUGCAGACCUCGGGGUGCUCUCCGUGACAUCAUUAGUUAAAGAACACAUGCCCCAUCUUCAUCAUCCUCCUCCUCCUCUAGCGGUCCUCUCUCAGCACUUAAUUGUGUCCACUCUGUCGGGGCUGGCGCGAUAAUAAAGCAUUAAGAGCCAUGCCUCGUUCAUUAAAGUGGAGUUGGGAAAUGUGAGACCGCCCCCUUUCAGGAGUUUAAAAAAAAAGAAAAGGGGGUAGAGAGAAAAAAAUCGAUUAUUUCUCCACGCAGGAGAGCAGAAGGUUUAGGGAAAGACUUGGUCGGGAUUGUGGUGAGGAACAGAAACAGCUUCGCAACAUCAAUAUCAAGCUUCAGACGUCCAGUACUAAUACCGGCACCACCUCCAACACAGCCGCUCCACCGAGUCCCUCGCCGCUCACCGGCACUACGCACUAGCAGACCAGACGGUGCGUCCUCAGUGCCUCCUGAGCGAGCUCUGUCGGAUCAGAGAGAGAGAGGGAGAGAGAGAGAGGAGAGAGAGAGAGAGAGAGAGGGUAGUUUUCUCUGACAUUAUAGGGACUCAUACCACGUAUUGUAGGUUACUUUUUUUUCCUCUCGGCGCCGUCCUCCUGCUUAGUUGCGCUCCUGGAUUUUAAGUGCGUCUCGGCGAACUCCGUCCCCCAUCAAGCUGCGGCUCCAACCUUCCUGUCAAACGGCCGGACCAAACACCCGGCGGACCGCUUGUUGUAGCCUUCUCUCGCUUCACUCGGGACAAGAUUUCAGAUAAAGUACAGAUGCUGGAAUCUUUGAGUUGAUUGAAACAAAUAGAAAGCAGGAAAAAAAAAGAAGAAAAGACAAAGCAAAGGAAGAGCGGAAACGUGAAGAGAAACGGGAGAGAGAGAAGAGAAGAAGAAAGAGAAGAGAGAAGAAAGCUUGAAGUUCUUUAGAAAGAGGAGAGAAAGAAAGAGACGGGGACGAUGGGGAGGAAAAAGAUUCAGAUCACGCGGAUUAUGGAUGAACGCAACAGACAGGUGACAUUUACAAAGAGAAAGUUUGGCCUGAUGAAGAAGGCGUAUGAGCUGAGCGUGCUGUGUGACUGUGAGAUUGCCCUGAUCAUCUUCAACAGCACCAACAAGCUGUUCCAGUAUGCCAGCACAGACAUGGACAAGGUCCUGCUUAAAUACACCGAGUACAAUGAGCCCCAUGAGAGCAGGACCAACUCUGAUAUCGUGGAGACAUUGAGAAAGAAGGGCCUAAACGGCUGUGACAGCCCAGAUCCCGACGCAGAUGACUCGGUUGGCCACAGCCCCGAGUCUGAGGACAAGUACAGGAAAAUAAACGAGGACAUUGAUCUGAUGAUCAGCAGACAGAGACUGUGUGCAUUGAGCAAGAAGGAGAACAAAGGUGGCGAGAGCCCGGAGCUCGAGUCCGCUCUCAUCCUCACCCCGCGCACUGAGGAGAAAUACAAACAGAUUAACGAAGAGUUUGAUCACAUGAUUAAAACUCAUAAGAUACCUCAGGCCGUGCCCCCAUCGAACUACGACAUGCCCGUGUCCAUUCCUGUUAGCAACCAGAACAAUCUCAUUUACAGCCAUCCCGGUGGAUCCCUAGGCAACCACAAUCUGUUGCCACUGGCACACCACGGCCUACAGAGAAACAGCAUGUCUCCUGGAGUUACACACAGACCCCCCAGUGCAGGAAAUGGAUAUGGGAACCACCGCAACUCUCCUGGUCUGCUGGUUUCUCCAGGUGGCAUGAACAAGAACAUGCAGACUAAGUCUCCCCCACCCAUGAACCUGGGCAUGAACAACCGCAAGCCUGACCUACGUGUGCUCAUCCCCCCUGGUGCCAAGAACAACAUGCCGUCCAUUUCUGAGGAUGUCGAUCUGCUAUUGAACCAGAGAAUAAACAACUCUCAGUCUGCUCAGUCACUGGCCACCCCAGUGGUAUCAGUAGCAACUCCUACUCUACCAGGACAAGGCAUGGGCGGUUAUCCAUCUGCCAUUUCUACUUCUUAUGGUACCGAGUACUCCCUGAAUAGCACAGACCUGUCCUCCCUGUCUGGCUUCAACAGUGGCAGCUCUCUACACCUUGGUUCAAUGAGUGGGUGGCAACAGCAACACCUUCAGAACAUGCAGCAUUCAGCGCUGGGCCAGCUAGGAAAUUGUUCUAGCUCUCACUUAUGUCAGGGUUCAAAUCUGUCCCUGCCCUCUGCUCAAAGCCUCCACAUCAAGUCCGAACCUGUUUCUCCUCCUAGAGAUCGCACCAGCAGCACACCGGGGGGCUACGGUGGCGGGGUGCCACCUCCCCAGAACCCCUCGUCCCGCCAGGACUCGGGACGCUCCCCUGUUGAUAGCCUGAGCAGUUGUAGCAGCUCCCAUGAGGGCAGCGACCGCGAUGAGCACAGGAAUGAGUUCCACUCACCUCUGGGACUGGCCCGGCCCGCCCUGGAUGAGCGUGAGAGCCCCUCCAUCAAACGGGUACGCCUGUCAGAAGGAUGGGCGACAUGAUUGCACUGUCCACACCUCUGCAGUGCCCCAAGUUGCCCCGAGCUCCCGACAAUGCAGCAUUACGAUGCCCCACAGUCAGCUCCCUCCUCUUCCUCCUCGCACUCGAUCUCAUGAGUCACUCACCGCCCAACCCCAUGGCCUCUCUCCUUUUUUCUCUUUAUUGCAGAAGGAAAGCAAAGGGACAACCCUUUCCAAAAAUCUGUUUGUAAUUUCUUUUCCUUAUUUUUUGUUCCUUGUUUUGAUUUUGCUGAGUGUGCGUGUGUGUGCGUGUUAUACAUAUUGACAUUAUAUAAAGCAGUUGGGUGUUGUAAUGGGGGCUUGGGAGGGUAGUUGUUGUUUGGGAUGGGAUCUGGGGGUAUAUUUGUUGGGGAACUAUGCAUAAAUUGUAUUGUGGAAAAAAAAAAGAAUCAUGUAUGCAUAUAUCUUUACACGUGCAACACGUGUGUACAGAUGUGCAUAUCAACAAAUACAAAAAAAAAAGGUCAGGUACUCUGUUUCAUAAAACGUACUUACAAUUUGCCCCAGUGCUAUAUCAGUGAAUAGAGACAAAAAAACAAAACAAAAAAAACAACAAAAAAAACAAGAUGAGCGUGAUUGUGUCCAGUGAAAAACACCUUAGCACUUGAGUUGGACAAACAAUACAUGUGUACAGUAUCAGUUUCAUUGCUAUAGACCUUCUCUGCAGUUUUACCUUGCAAAAAUGUGUGUUAACAUUAGAUGAUGUCAUGUUGCAGGUUCAACGUAUUUAUGUAAAUAGCGGGUCAAGGGGGUAAAAGGGCCUGGGGUCAAAAGUCGCCAGACAUUACAAGAUUUAUUUACUCACUAAAUGAAAAAGCUAUUAUGCAACAUUUGAAGGAUUGUACAGGUAAACGAGAAAACCCGAUGCUAGAUGUGUGGAACCCUUGAUCGUUUUCGUGCUCCCCUUAAAGAACGGAGUGAGGACCACUCUUUGAUCUAAGAGCUAUGUCGGCGUAAUCAAGAAAAUCUCUGGAUCUAGUAUUAACUAUUCAGUAUUGAUAAACAAAAAAAAGAGAAAAAAACAAUUGUACAAUACACUUGCUUAUAUUUUCAUAUGAAAGGAAUAAAAUGCAAAGCAUUUUUGUGGCUUUUUGUAGUUUCUAUAAGCCAGAAUGUGUUUUUUGAUAGCUUUGCCAAUAAGAGAUGGAUAGUUCACCCAGAGGGGAAAUGACAGGGCUUCAAGCCCCCAAGCCAUGAAAAACAGACUGAGAUCCAAUGCUUUGCUGAACUGUUUAAUCUUUGUAGAGGUUUGUUUUUAAACGUGUAUUUCUUAUUAUAUAUAAUAAUGGUAAUAUUAAGAAUCUUUUAAAAAAAAUCUGUGAAAUUAACAUGCUUGUGUAUAGCUUUCUAAUAUAUAAAUAUAUAUAAUAAUGAUUUUUUGUUGGUUUCUUAGUGAAGUUUCUAUGUGCUGUUGCACAUGUUGUCUGGUUUGUUUCAUUUUAACUCUGAACAGGGCUGUUUGGGCGGGGUGUUUAGACUAACCUUAAAAACCAGCUGGAAAGCAUUGCCAGGGUUGAAGCCUGAAUGCUGAAAAACCUAAUUUCUAGUGGAAAAUGUCACGAGGCUGAAUCUGGAGACGACACAGAAAUAAAUGUUGACACGUAACGUACACGAUUGUCACACUGAUGAGGAAAUAUGACAGAGCCGCAGUCUCCGGAUGCAUUUUUAUGCAUCCCGAUAUUUCGUUAGGAGUCCAAAUUAUUAUAAUUUAAUAGUCACAGUCAUAAAACAUAGAUUUGACCUCAUCGAUUUUGAAUACCACCUUCAAUUUUCAACCCAGUCUACCUUGUGUUCGAGAUGCCGCUCAGACGCAAACUGUAAAAUCUUCCUUUGAAUCGCAUUAACGUAAUGCGAUUUAUGCAUCGUGAUUAAGUACUCUUGUUUUCAAACCUAAUUUAAUUCUGUGUCGCUCCAGUCUCGAAAACAGGGUUCCACAUCCUUUACCACACUGUCGCAGACAGUUCAGCGUAAGACACAAAACAGAACAAACUGAUCAUGCUGGUAUGGGAGAAGCACAAUUGUUUAUUCUUGAUGAAUAGCUUUGAUUUUCUCUUUUUUAAACAAUGAAACUAGCCACAUAUCUCUCCGCCUCCCACACCCGUAUCUGCUGUCACUUAAGUGUUAUGAUAUUUCUAUGUGCAUAUUUCAUGCAGGUUCACUAGGUUGUUACUGUAUACAGUCUGUGUAGUCAAAUGGGGCAGAGCCUCUAUAACAGUGUUUUUCUUCUUCUUCUUUUUUUUAAACUUCAAUAGAAAAAAAAAGGUUGGGAAAAAAAUAAACAUGAUGUUUCAGGCAGCGUAAGUGUGGAGAAACCAAAGCCAGUGGCAUUUCUGUGUUGUAAAGUCAGCUUUUAUUUUCACAUUCAUUUAUGGGUUUUUUUUUUCUUUUGCAAGCAUUGAAACAAGAUAAUAAAAGAUUCUGCUUAAAUUCACAACUGUUUUCACAUUUCACUUUCAGUUAGUUAUUGUAGCUUUAGCCAUCAAACUGCAUUGUCCAUAGGAAUCGUAUUAAUUUACCUGUUUUCUUGUUCAUUUGUCUCCCUGUGCAGCGUAUCGAAAAAGGUUACAUGGGAAAAAAAAACAAAAAGAAAAGGAAAAACGCAUUUUCUAUUUACAAUUUGUUACUUAACUCGGAAUCAUUCAGGCCCGUGUGAAAGCACUACUUGUUUUUCACUUCAUCAAUCAACAUUACACACUGCUUGCUCGCUGAAGAAAAUAAUGCCAACAUGUCCUGACAGUUAAUUAGAGUGCUAUAGUUUUGACAGUAUUUUUAACCAAAGACAUGGAGAAAGCUUGUCUUUAUAUCUUUGAUGUUGUUUUUUCUUCUUCUUCUUUCUACGUUUGUUCAAUUUGAAGCCAAUUUUUUUCUUCAUCUGUUGAUCAGUUGUUCUUUGUCAUUACUAUAUCAGACUAAAUGUUGGUACCUCAAAAUUGACCCAAGCAGUACCUCAGCUGAUUUUUUGAUAAGUCACUUAACGUGCAAAGGGGAGACCAUUCACCUGUACAGCCAUGUGUAAUAACAAUUGCUUAAGGUCCCAACAUUCACAUGCUACGGGAUUCUUUGUUGCUCCUCUGUGUUUGUGGUUUAUUUAAGUUGUACUCAAAAGCUGAAAUUAAAAAAAAAAAAAGAGUAAUAUGUUAAAAUACUUAAAAAGUCAGUCUGUAGUAUCAAUGUAGCUUGUAUAAACCUGAUGAUGGGGGGGACGUUUGUAACUAAGGUUUUUUGGAAUGCAGGAGCGGCUUUCAGCGGCAUAAGCUGGCCUUUGUCGCCACUUGAGACUAAGAUGGUAUUAAAUUAAAAUCACAUCUCUGUAACUCAAGGGACUUGAUUCAGCUGUAUGUAGUGAAAACGUAUGGGGAUGAAAUAAAAGUCUCCUCUGCAGGAGGGAAAGGCUAUUUGUAUUUUGCAGAGAUUUCAGUAAAGUUACUGGCUUUCUUAGUUA
Long non-coding RNA from Oreochromis niloticus (Nile tilapia), 7405 nucleotides. RefSeq annotates it as myocyte-specific enhancer factor 2C. NCBI's taxonomy places the organism in Eukaryota, Metazoa, Chordata, Actinopteri, Cichliformes, Cichlidae. The transcript is spliced from 11 exons. The record is from RefSeq and is a predicted model, not a curated record.